This 810-nucleotide non-coding RNA is filed under the name Sabella spallanzanii. Lineage: Eukaryota; Metazoa; Annelida; Polychaeta; Sabellida; Sabellidae. The record is from RNAcentral.
UGAAUGUUUGAUUCUAGUCUAAUUUUGACACACUCAAAACAUAUACAUUGCAAUACAUAAAAUUCCCGAGAGUCAGGCAAUUUAUCUUUAUUUAAUAUAUAAAAUAAUGCCCCCUAGUAUAAGUACUUACAAACACUAUGAACACCACCUCGCCUGCAGUAAUGAAAUCUGGACCACUUAUAAAAGUAAAUUCCGGAAAAGAGUACUAUAAAGCUGGCCAAACUCGUGCCAGCAGUCGCGGCUAAACGUAAGGCUUAAGUCAAAACACACUGGUAUAAUGCUAAAGGAACACUCAGAAGACAAUAAUAUAUCAAUUGAGUAAAAUCAAAAAUAUAUAAUAAUUUUCCUCCCCCCCAUCAUGAAAGACGGGAGUCAAACGAGGGCCAUCCUCUUAUGCCCGUCUAUAAAUUUACCAAGGAACUACGAACAACUGUUUCAAACCUAAAGAAUCUGGCGGUACCUAUUAACUUCUCAGGGGAACCUGUUCUUUAAACCGAUAAUCCACGUCUCACCUCACCUCUCUUUGCCCUAGCCUAUGUAUUGCCGUCGAGCCCUUUUAUUAAAUUAAGGACACCCAGCUAUUAAGCCCGAAGUCAGGUCGAAAUAUAGCCUAUAGAAAGGAAGAAAUGGGUUACAAUAAAUAAAUUAAUGAAAUUACACUGAAAAAUAAAUGAAACUGGACUUGAAAGUAAUUACCUAAAUCUCACGUAAUGAAUCUACUUAGGUAUGUACAAAUCGCCCGUCACUCUCGCCCAAAGGGGAGAUAAGUCGUAACAUAGUCGGCAUAAUGGAAAUUGUGCCCUGGGAACA